Molecule: long non-coding RNA, 361 nt
Organism: Ailuropoda melanoleuca (giant panda)
Lineage: Eukaryota; Metazoa; Chordata; Mammalia; Carnivora; Ursidae
Exons: 3
Source: RefSeq, a predicted model, not a curated record
UUAGCAUCCUCUGCUACACCGUCAGGAGGCUACUGCAGUCAUCCGGGGGGAGGGAAGGUUGGCUGACACCAGGCAGUGUGGAGGACGGUUGGAUUCUACACUAUUUUGAAGAGUGGCUGGUUCAAGAAGGAUCUGCUGUUGUGAGAGGUCGGAGAGGCGGAGCAUGACUGGGUCUCCGAAAUGGUCACAGAAAAAGAAAAAGAACUGUGCUAUAGGCAGCAAGAUACACCAAAGCCAGUCUCUGAAAGCCAAAUUGUUGCCAGGUCACCUGCUCGCUCUCCAUCCGCACACCCUCGAGAUCUCCGUGGGCCAUAUCCUUUCUUCUUCUCUUCUUUCUGCGUGGAGCUUGGACGUGAUGGUG